This 422-nucleotide ribosomal RNA is filed under the name uncultured bacterium. RNAcentral's name for it is "bacterial SSU rRNA". It matches the Rfam family "Bacterial small subunit ribosomal RNA", at positions 355 to 774 of the family's 1533-position model. The record is from RNAcentral.
UAAGGAAUAUUGGUCAAUGGAGGCAACUCUGAACCAGCCAUGCCGCGUGAAGGAUUAAGGCCCUCUGGGUUGUAAACUUCUUUUAUAUGGGAAGAAAUGUACUUUUUCUAAAGUGCUUGACGGUACCAUAGGAAUAAGCACCGGCUAACUCCGUGCCAGCAGCCGCGGUAAUACGGAGGGUGCAAGCGUUAUCCGGAUUUACUGGGUUUAAAGGGUGCGUAGGCGGAUGAAUAAGUCAGUGGUGAAAUCUCCGAGCUUAACUCGGAAACUGCCGUUGAUACUAUUUGUCUUGAGUGUGGGAGAGGUUGAUGGAAUUCCAGGUGUAGCAGUGAAAUGCGUAGAUAUCUGGAAGAACACCAGUGGCGAAGGCGGUCAACUGGCCCAUAACUGACGCUCAUGCACGAAAGCGUGGGGAGCAAACA